AUACGGAGGGUGCAAGCGUUACUCGGAAUCACUGGGCGUGAAGCGCGCGCAGGCGGCUUGAUAAGUUGGAUGUGAAAGCCUACGGCUCAACCGUAGAACUGCAUCCAAAACUGUCAAGCUAGAGUCUGGGAGGGGAAGAUGGAAUUAGUUGUGUAGGGGUAAAAUCCGUAGAGAUAACUAGGAAUACCAAAAGCGAAGGCGAUCUUCUGGAACAGUACUGACGCUCAGGCGCGAAAGCGUGGGGAGCAAACAGGAUUAGAAACCCGAGUAGUCC
Molecule: ribosomal RNA, 274 nt
Filed under: uncultured bacterium
Lineage: Bacteria
Description: partial 16S ribosomal RNA
Rfam family: Bacterial small subunit ribosomal RNA
Source: RNAcentral